Long non-coding RNA from Zophobas morio, 854 nucleotides. RefSeq lists it as uncharacterized. The record is from RefSeq and is a predicted model, not a curated record. The transcript has 3 exons. NCBI's taxonomy places the organism in Eukaryota, Metazoa, Arthropoda, Insecta, Coleoptera, Tenebrionidae.
GUCACUCGAAUACAAAUUUAGGAAGCAAGCCUCAGCGCCCUCGGUGUCGAGCUGACCAAGUAAUGAAAAACGCGCACUUUGAAAACGUUCAAAUCAUCCAAUGAGAGUGCGAUGCCGUUAGCUGGCAUCAGCUGGUUUUGUGGUGUGCAUACGUGCGAUUAAAAAAGCCGCUGCUAUGAAAGUGUAAAAUCGUUCAGGGAAAAAAGCCGGACUGAGGCAUUUCUUACAUCUCUCGAACAUGGAGAAACCACGCCGUAUUGCAUAUCGAUGUAAAUAUCCAAACUGCGGAAAUGUGUUCUACAAGGGUGGUGGUAAUGACCUUAGAUUUUACCAUUUUCCAAGAAAUUUGGAAAUGGAGGAACUUUGGAGAUAAAUUUGUAAAAUUGAUGCAAGUAAACCGUGUAAGUCCUUAUACUUGUGUAAAAAUCAUUUUCACUCGACAGAUUUUCAUGAUCCAUUACAUCGAAAUAGACUGUUGCCUAAUGUGGUCCCAAAGGAAUAUGUCUCCAAAGAGUCCAUGAGCAGUCAAGUGGUUGCAGCGGAAAUUUACACUCAGUUGCUGUGGAAUCCGUAGCUAGUUGCUCAUUUUCUGCUGAAACAGACUUUUCUACCGUAGAAGAAAGUAACGUUUGCUGAGAGGAAAUUGCUUCAGAGUUGUAGUUCGCCUCCUCGUGGUGCACCUUGAGUAACGCUAAAUGAAUUGGCACAUAUCGAUAUUGACAGAAAUAUCUCGUCAAGUACGCAGUUGUUCAUUUUCCUUACAACACAAUCUGACAGGAGGGAUGAUAACCCUAGAAGCUUCACAUUGUGAGUUACAUAUCUUUCUCUUAUUAUUAUUGUAUCUAAUAUUUGUA